UGGAUUAAUACCUNAUAGUAUUAUGAUUUGGCAUCAUUUCAUAAUUAAAACUCCGGUGGUUAAAGAUGAGCAUGCGUCCUAUUAGCUAGUUGGUAAGGUAACUGCUUACCAAGGCUACGAUAGGUAGGGGGCCUGAGAGGGUGAUCCCCCACACUGGUACUGAGACACGGACCAGACUCCUACGGGAGGCAGCAGUGAGGAAUAUUGCGCAAUGGAGGAAACUCUGACGCAGCCAUGCCGCGUGCUAGGAAGACGGCCCUACGGGUUGUAAACUGCUUUUCUGCAAGAAGAAAUACUAAUACGUGUAUUGGUUUGACGGUACUGCAGGAA
RNAcentral lists this ribosomal RNA (330 nucleotides) under uncultured Bacteroidota bacterium. Its description in RNAcentral is "bacterial SSU rRNA". It matches the Rfam family "Bacterial small subunit ribosomal RNA", at positions 159 to 486 of the family's 1533-position model. The record is from RNAcentral. Lineage: Bacteria; Pseudomonadati; Bacteroidota.